RNAcentral lists this ribosomal RNA (432 nucleotides) under uncultured Corynebacterium sp. RNAcentral describes it as "bacterial SSU rRNA". It matches the Rfam family "Bacterial small subunit ribosomal RNA", at positions 952 to 1382 of the family's 1533-position model. The record is from RNAcentral. Lineage: Bacteria; Bacillati; Actinomycetota; Actinomycetes; Mycobacteriales; Corynebacteriaceae.
CGAUGCAACGCGAAGAACUUACCUGGGCUUGACAUACACCACGAUCGGCGCAGAGAUGCGUUUUCCCUUGUGGUUGGUGUACAGGUGGUGCAUGGUUGUCGUCAGCUCGUGUCGUGAGAUGUUGGGUUAAGUCCCGCAACGAGCGCAACCCUUGUCUUAUGUUGCCAGCACGUGAUGGUGGGGACUCAUGAGAGACUGCCGGGGUUAACUCGGAGGAAGGUGGGGAUGACGUCAAAUCAUCAUGCCCCUUAUGUCCAGGGCUUCACACAUGCUACAAUGGUCGGUACAACGCGUGUGCGACACUGUGAGGUGAAGCUAAUCGCUCUAAAGCCGGUCGUAGUUCGGAUUGGGGUCUGCAACUCGACCCCAUGAAGUCGGAGUCGCUAGUAAUCGCAGAUCAGCAACGCUGCGGUGAAUACGUUCCCGGGCCUU